CACGUAGGGUCCGAGCGUUGUCCGGAAUUACUGGGCGUAAAGCGUGCGCAGACGGUUGGGUCAGUCGCUGGUGAAAGCCCCACGCUCAACGUGGGAAUGGCCAACGAGACGGCCCGACUGGAGGCAGGGAGAGGCCGGGUGGAAUUCCGGGUGUAGUGGUGAAAUGCGUAGAGAUCCGGAGGAACACCAGAGGCGAAGGCGGCCGGCUGGACCUGACCUGACGCUGAGGCACGAAGGCGUGGGGAGCGAACGGGAU
RNAcentral lists this ribosomal RNA (256 nucleotides) under uncultured bacterium. Its description in RNAcentral is "partial 16S ribosomal RNA". It matches the Rfam family "Bacterial small subunit ribosomal RNA", at positions 524 to 778 of the family's 1533-position model. The record is from RNAcentral.